GCCUUCAAGGUGCAGUGGUCAGCACGCUCGGCGCGUAUUCGAGAGGUCCGUGGUUCGAAUCCGGGCGAGAGCA
This is a non-coding RNA of Stegodyphus mimosarum, 73 nucleotides long. The record is from Rfam. Lineage: Eukaryota; Metazoa; Arthropoda; Arachnida; Araneae; Eresidae.